GGAGGUUCCUGCCCCCAGACGGGCUUAGCCAGGAAGGGAAGUGAUACUGCUGUCUGUGGUAGGCUGCAGAGUUUUAGCAUGCCGGGAAGAGGAGAGAAACAGACAAGUGAAAAAGAGUAGAGACCACACUUCCAGCUAUGGAUCACUGGCAGAAGGAACCUUUCUUGGCCAGUUCAAAUGAAAACUCUCCACCACUGACAUUUGGUCAGUGCUUCAGUCCCACCCUGGGCACAGCGGGCCACCCAUGUCACCCUCAGACAGGAAGGAUACCCUGCUCAACAGACAUCUGACCACCUCGGGGCAGUCCUAUCCCUCCAGCCACUUUGGUCAUGGAGACUCCCGCAAGCGCUGUGCCCCAUCCUUCAGUCCGUUCAGCCAGUGAACCCCAGGCUCCAGGAGGAACCAGGAGCUUCUUUCUGAGCCCCCAGGAGUUUAUAAGAACAAGAAGGAAGGCAGAAGGUAGCCAUGAGUCCCACGUUCUGUGUUCUUCCAGCUUGCUGUCCUCUGAAUCCCAGAUCUCUCUGUGGCAGAGACAAGGCUGGACCUGUCUGUCUGAAUAAUAUCCAGGAGGAUCCAUGCCUGAGGCUCAUCCCAGUGACAGCAUCAGAACCUCCUCUAUUGCCAAGGCCCCGUCUCUAACCACUAGAACGGUAUUAAGUGGCCUCCCGCUUUGUGCUUCACAGUUGGGGGUUAAUCUCCCCCCAGGAAGCCUGGGAACAUACCCUAGCCUUGGUGGCUGGUCACUUUACUGGCCACUAAUGUUCAGUUCUGUCUCUCCUAUGCCUUUUCACUGCACCACUUGGAAUUUUGAAACACAUAUAAAAAGCAAAUAAACAAAGCAAAAAGAGACACAAACCAGCCCACCACACAGGAAGCUGGGAACUGCUGAGUAAUCAUGGAGACCACAGGGGUGUUUCCAGGGAGCUGAGCAGAUGGCCGUGGGUGGCUGGGUGGCCAGGCAACAACACUUCCUGCCUGCUCCACAGAGGCACUAGGUCACCUGGGGACACUGUCUGGGUGUGUCUCUCCUGGGCCAGUCCGGUCUUGUACUCUUGCUUGUCCAGGAUCCAGGACUUCUGGUGUACAGAGGGGCAGAAGGGAGGUGUUUGUGGUUGGAAGUGGCCAUCACUGCCUCCAUCAAGGCCAGAUGGUCACAACGAUAAGAAGGUGCCUGUGACCCCAUGGAAUUCACACAGUUCAAGCCUGCUCUGCGCCCUGAGGCAGCUAGGGCCUUCAGUAUGCAGCCUCCUGUGACAGACAGCCCAGGAGAACAAGCAGCUGCCGCCUCUGCCUGCAGAGCUGUUACCUUCUGGGCUAACGCUGGGUGGGGUUUCAUGUGCUUCACUGAUGCACAAGCCAUAGAGACAGAGAAAAAGCGGGCCUAGUGCUAGCCAUGGCCAAGGAAUGAACCUCUCAGGAAAAGCUGGGCCUUUGUUUGGAGACAGCCACACCCUCCUGAGGGAAGAAUGAUGACCCCAGACUAGGUGGAGACCCAGCAGGAAGUGGGUGAGCUCUGUCAGGGUUAAAAAGUUUGUGGCUGCAUUGCAAUGGACCACACAGAGUAACAAGCCGUUUGGGGAGCAGCAAGGAGAGUUGUCUUUUCUCUGACAUGAACCACAGCAUGGGACUGUCAUGUGACGGAGAUACCACUGUGAGAGUCAUCAGUGACAUCAGUGAAAACACAGGGCACAUUAGUCUCCUGGGCUACUCUAGUUUAUGAGAGUAGUGAUGUCAAUUACUAGGAUCAAUUCAGUCAGUGAUGUGGGAUCAAGACAGUGCAGAAAUCAUGUUCCCCCAGGUGAAUCCUAGGUAGCUU
Mesocricetus auratus (golden hamster) is the source of this 1816-nucleotide long non-coding RNA. RefSeq lists it as uncharacterized. The record is from RefSeq and is a predicted model, not a curated record. Lineage: Eukaryota; Metazoa; Chordata; Mammalia; Rodentia; Cricetidae. The transcript is spliced from 4 exons.